Molecule: non-coding RNA, 914 nt
Filed under: Spirula spirula
Lineage: Eukaryota; Metazoa; Mollusca; Cephalopoda; Spirulida; Spirulidae
Description: 12S ribosomal RNA
Rfam family: Microsporidia small subunit ribosomal RNA (bases 481-905)
Source: RNAcentral
GAUAAUUUGGUUUUGGUUAUUAUAUAAGCUAUUACUAAAUUUAUAUAUGUUAGGUUUAGAUAGUAGAUCGUUUUGUUUAGAUUAUAUUAUUAUUUAAUAAUUUGUUUAAUACUCAUUAAAUAAUAUUAGUAUAUUAUUAAUAUUUUAUUAAGAUAAUGUAAAUAAGCUACGCAGUAUUUAUAAUUAUACAAUGGAUGAAAAUUUGAUAUAGUUAAUGUAGUUUAAAGAUGGAUAAAUUGGUGCCAGCAUCUGCGGUUAUACUAAUGUCUUUAGUUUAUAUAUUAUAGUAUAAAAUAAAGUAAUAUUGGUAUAAAUUAGAGUAAAUGAGUAUAAUAAUUGUAAGUAAAAUUUAAUUAUUAUUAUUUAAUUAAAUUACUCUAUAUAUAAUUCUUUGAAAAUAAGAGCAGAAAACUAGGAUUAGAGACCCUAUUAUUCUUUAUUUUAAAAAUUUGUUACUUAAGUAGUAUGAAUGUAAAUAAUGUAAAGUACGUUUAUGUUUGAAAUUUAAAAGGCUUGGCGGUGUUAUAUAUCCUUCCAGGGGAGCUUGCUUAAUAAUUUGAUAAUCCUCAAUUUAUACUUACUUUUUUUUGAAUAAUAUCAGUUUGUAUAUUGCUGUCGUCAGUUUAUUUUGUAAAAAUUUUGGAAAAAACUUAAUAAUGUGAGGUUACAAUGUCAAGUCAAAAUGCAGCUAAUAGAAAAGAUAUUGAAAGUGAGCUACGAUUUAUAAUUUUUUAUCUGAUUAAAUUAUGUAACUAAUUUAUGAGGUUGGACUUGGUAGUAAUAAACAUAUAUAUAAAUAGUGAGUUUUUGUGAAUUAGGUUUUAUAAUGCGUACAUAUCGCCCGUCGCUCUUGUUGGAAAAUAAGAUAAGUCGUAACAUAGUAGAGGUAGUGGAAGCUGUUUCUGGAAUGUAGA